This 247-nucleotide long non-coding RNA is filed under the name Nicotiana benthamiana. RNAcentral's name for it is "long non-coding RNA (NBEN_LNC001208)". The record is from RNAcentral. Lineage: Eukaryota; Viridiplantae; Streptophyta; Magnoliopsida; Solanales; Solanaceae.
UGGGACUUUGUGGAUACCCAUAUAUCUUGAAGCACUUAUCAAUUAAGUGUCCAGACUUUUUACAGUAUCGACAAAAUAAAUGUCCCCUGGUUUGAUCAAAACUGACUCUCUGUCUAAGAGGAGGAGGGGGAACAGACACUGUGGCCUUGUUAAAUCCAACAGGCUGCCUGUUUGUAUGCACAUCGAAAGAGACAGAGGUUGGAUCAAAUUGAGAGGAAGACUGAACUUGUCUUUGCUUCUCAUCAUU